CCUACGGGUGGCAGCAGUGAGGAAUAUUGGUCAAUGGGAGAGAUCCUGAACCAGCCAAGCCGCGUGAGGGAAGACGGCGCCAUGGGUUGUAAACCUCUUUUGUCGGAGAACAAAAUCCGGGUCGUGUCCCGGACCGCGUGUACUCGAAGAAAAAGCAUCGGCUAACUCCGUGCCAGCAGCCGCGGUAAUACGGAGGAUGCGAGGUUUAUCCGGAUUGAUUGGGUUGAAAGGGUGCGUAGGCGGACCGUUAAGUCAGCGGUAAAAUUCCGGGGCUCAACCCCGUCGAGCCGUUGAAACUGGCGGACUUGAGUUGGCGAGAGGUACGCGGAAUGCGCGGUGUAGCGGUGAAAUGCAUAGAUAUCGCGCAGAACUCCGAUUGCGAAGGCAGCAUACCGGCGCCGGACUGACGCUGAGGCACGAAAGCGUGGGGAUCGAACAGGAUUAGAUACCCCAGUAGUC
Molecule: ribosomal RNA, 459 nt
Filed under: uncultured bacterium
Lineage: Bacteria
Description: partial 16S ribosomal RNA
Rfam family: Bacterial small subunit ribosomal RNA
Source: RNAcentral